Molecule: ribosomal RNA, 301 nt
Filed under: uncultured bacterium
Lineage: Bacteria
Description: partial 16S ribosomal RNA
Rfam family: Bacterial small subunit ribosomal RNA
Source: RNAcentral
CAGUCGCCGCGGUAAUACGUAGGGGGCAAGCGUUAUCCGGAAUAACUGGGCGUAAAGGGUGCGCAGGUGGUUUAACAAGUUAGUGGUGAAAGGCAUAGGCUCAACCAAUGUAAGCCAUUAAAACUGUUUAACUUGAGUGCAGGAGAGGAAAGUGGAAUUCCUAGUGUAGCGGUGAAAUGCGUAGAGAUGUGGAGGAACACCAGUGGCGAAGGCGACUCUCUGGUCUGUAACUGACGCUGAGGAGCGAAAGCGUGGGGAGCGAACAGGAUUAGAUACCCCAGUAGUCCCUGUCUCUUAUACC